GAUUGUAGUUUAGGAUGAUAUAUAUUCUAGAUCCCAAGUGAGGGUGAAAAUAAAAUUAGGGAUAAGGAAAACUUUGUGGUUAAUAUAGAACAACUCUUUCUUUGGUGGAGCUCGUUUUCAUUUUUGAAACCUGAGUGAGGAUUUAUGUAAUUAUAAAAAUCCUCAGGGAAGCUCGUUGGAAUUUACCCAAAGUAGAAUUUCAAUUAAAAGACUUCAUGGUUCCAUCUGUUCAGUCAAUUAUCCAUUUGCACUCACUCAAUCUCUACCACUCAAUCCUGAGUUUGCUAUUUCUUGUGGUCUGGCUGGAUCUUCAUCUUCUCCACUCCUACAAUUUCUUCAGAUCCCGUCAAUAUGCCCAAAGAUUGGUUGAUAUAGAUCAAUCAACCAUGGAGUUAAUUCUUGAAAGCAUUAAAGUAGGACUUCAAAGUUGAAAAAAAGAGUAUGCCUAAUUUAUUCAAGUAAGCUGCCAGCCCUUAUAACUAUUUUACCCUCUUUUUGGUGUUGAUUAUAGUGUUAGAUAUGUCUCGGUUUGGCAUAUGAUUGUCUCGAUGUUUAGGUGCCAACUUCGUUGUGAUGUUUAAUUUACAAAGGGUUGUGAUGCCGUUUUCUCCAUGUUUCCUUUAGUCUUUGUAAUCCUUAUUUAAAGAUUAAUAAAAUUUCUUUGCCGUUCAAAAAAGUAGAAAAGAAAAAGA
Long non-coding RNA from Rhododendron vialii, 692 nucleotides. RefSeq lists it as uncharacterized. Lineage: Eukaryota; Viridiplantae; Streptophyta; Magnoliopsida; Ericales; Ericaceae. The record is from RefSeq and is a predicted model, not a curated record. The transcript has 2 exons.